This 376-nucleotide unclassified non-coding RNA is filed under the name uncultured Terriglobia bacterium. Its description in RNAcentral is "uncultured Acidobacteriia bacterium contains 16S-23S intergenic spacer region". Lineage: Bacteria; Pseudomonadati; Acidobacteriota; Terriglobia. The record is from RNAcentral.
UCUCCGUUAUCCGGAGCAGUCCUCUUAGAGUUCCCCCUUGCGGGUGGCAACUAAGAGUAAGGGUUGCGCUCGUUGCGGGACUUAACCCAACACCUCACGGCACGAGCUGACGACAGCCAUGCAGCACCUCUACACAGGUCCCUUGCGGGAAGUUCGCCUUUCGGCGAAUGGUCCUGUGCGGUUCAAGCCCAGGUAAGGUUCUUCGCGUUGCGUCGAAUUGAACCACAUGUUCCACCGCUUGUGCGGGCCCCCGUCAAUUCCUUUGAGUUUCAGUCUUGCGACCGUACUCCCCAGGCGCAGGACUUAACGCGUUAGCUACGGGACUUGCCCCGUACAGGGCAAACCCCAAGUCCUGAUGGUUUAGGGCUAGGACUAC